RNAcentral lists this ribosomal RNA (253 nucleotides) under uncultured bacterium. Its description in RNAcentral is "partial 16S ribosomal RNA". It matches the Rfam family "Bacterial small subunit ribosomal RNA", at positions 524 to 776 of the family's 1533-position model. The record is from RNAcentral.
UACGUAGGGGGCUAGCGUUGUCCGGAUUUAUUGGGCGUAAAGGGCGCGUAGGCGGCGUGACAAGUCACUUGUGAAAUCUCUGGGCUUAACCCAGAACGGCCAAGUGAAACUGUUGUGCUAGAGUGCAGAAGGGGCAAUCGGAAUUCUUGGUGUAGCGGUGAAAUGCGUAGAUAUCAAGAGGAACACCUGAGGCGAAGGCGGGUUGCUAGGCUGACACUGACGCUGAGGCGCGAAAGCUAGGGUAGCAAACGGG